CCUACGGGAGGCAGCAGUGAGGAAUAUUGGUCAAUGGGCGCGAGCCUGAACCAGCCAAGUCGCGUGAGGGAUGACUGCCCUAUGGGUUGUAAACCUCUUUUAUAAGGGAAGAAAAUUGACUACGUGUGGUCAGAUGCAGGUACCUUGUGAAUAAGGAUCGGCUAACUCCGUGCCAGCAGCCGCGGUAAUACGGGGGAUGCGGGCGUUAUCCGGAUUUAUUGGGUUUAAAGGGUGCGUAGGCGGUAUUUUAAGUUAGUGGUAAAACGUCGGGGCUUCACCUUGAUUGGCCAUUAAAACUGGCGGUCUUGAGUACAGACGAGGUAGGCGGAAUGAGUGGAGUAGCGGUGAAAUGCUUAGAUAUCACGAAGAACCCCGAUUGCGAAGGCAGCCUACUAGACUGUUACUGACGCUGAUGCUCGAGAGUGUGGGUAGCAAACAGGAUUAGAUACCCUUGUAGUC
RNAcentral lists this ribosomal RNA (459 nucleotides) under uncultured bacterium. RNAcentral describes it as "partial 16S ribosomal RNA". It matches the Rfam family "Bacterial small subunit ribosomal RNA", at positions 338 to 795 of the family's 1533-position model. The record is from RNAcentral.